AGGUUAAGUUAACAAGGGCGCAUGGUGAAUGCCUUGGCACUAGGAGCCGAUGAAGGACGGGACUAACACCGAUAUGCUUCGGGGAGCUGUACGUAAGCUAUGAUCCGGAGAUUUCCGAAUGGGGCAACCCAGCAGUUUUAAUCAACUGUUACCACUAGAUGAAUUCAUAGUCUAGUUGGAGGUAAACGCUGUGAACUGAAACAUCUCAUUAGCAGCAGGAAUAUAAAGAAAUUUCGAUUCCCUAAGUAGCGGCGAGCGAACGGGGAACAGCCCAAACCAAAGUGCUUGCACUUUGGGGUUGUAGGACUGAACAUUUGAGUUACCAAAGAACUUGAUAGUCGAAGGAUUUGGGAAAAUCCGCCAUAGAUGGUGAUAGCCCAGUAGAUUAAAUCAAAUUCUCUCAGUUCAGGAUCCUGAGUACGGCGGAACACGUGAAAUUCCGUCGGAAUCCGGGAGGACCAUCUCCCAAGGCUAAAUACUACCUAGUGACCGAUAGUGAACCAGUACCGUGAGGGAAAGGUGAAAAGCACCCCGGGAGGGGAGUGAAAUAGUUCCUGAAACCAUGUGCCUACAAUAAGUCAGAGCGCGUUAAUGCGUGAUGGCGUGCCUUUUGUAGAAUGAACCGGCGAGUUAUGAUCCCGUGCAAGGUUAAGACUAAAAAGUCGGAGCCGUAGCGAAAGCGAGUCUGAAAUGGGCGUUUUGAGUACGAGGUUAUAGACCCGAAACCAGGUGACCUAUCCAUGUCCAGGUUGAAGGUGCGGUAAAACGCACUGGAGGACCGAACCCGUGUAAGUUGAAAAUUGCUGGGAUGAGGUGUGGAUAGCGGUGAAAUUCCAAACGAACUUGGAGAUAGCUGGUUCUCUCCGAAAUAGCUUUAGGGCUAGCCUCGGAAUUAGGAUCAUGGAGGUAGAGCACUAUUUGGACUAGGGGCCCGUCUUGGGUUACUGAAUUCAGAUAAACUCCGAAUGCCAUUGAUUCAUAUCCGGGAGUCAGACGAUGAGUGAUAAGAUCCACCGUCGAAAGGGGAACAGCCCAGACCAUCAGUUAAGGUCCCUAAAUGUAUGCUAAGUGGAAAAGGAUGUGGAGUUGCAUAGACAACUAGGAUGUUGGCUCAGAAGCAGCCACCAUUUAAAGAGUGCGUAAUAGCUCACUAGUCGAGUGAUCCUGCGCCGAAAAUGUACCGGGGCUAAGCAUACUACCGAAACCAUGGAUGCGACCAAUAGGUCGCGUGAUAGGAGAGCGUUCUAAGGGCGGUGAAGCAAGAUCGUGAGGACUUGUGGAGCGCUUAGAAGUGAGAAUGCCGGUAUGAGUAGCGAAAGAUAGGUGAGAAUCCUAUCCACCGAAUGACUAAGGUUUCCUGGGGAAGGCUCGUCCUCCCAGGGUUAGUCGGGACCUAAGUCGAGGCCGAGAGGCGUAGACGAUGGAUAACAGGUUGAGAUUCCUGUACUAGUUAAGUGCGUUUGAGCAAUGGAGGGACGCAGGAGGCUAAGAUGUGCAUUCUGUUGGAUUAGAAUGUCCAAGCAGCAAGUCUUGUGAAGAGUCAAAUGCUUUUCACUUUAAGGACAAGCUGUGAUGGGGAGCGAAAUUUAGUAGCGAAGCGUCUGAUGUCACACUGCCGAGAAAAGCUUCUAGUGAGUACUUAACUACCCGUACCGCAAACCGACACAGGUAGUCGAGGAGAGAAUCCUAAGGUGAGCGAGUGAACUCUCGUUAAGGAACUCGGCAAAAUGACCCCGUAACUUCGGGAGAAGGGGUGCUGAUCGCAAGAUCAGCCGCAGUGAAUAGGCCCAGGCGACUGUUUAUCAAAAACACAGGUCUCUGCAAAAUCGUAAGAUGACGUAUAGGGGCUGACGCCUGCCCGGUGCUGGAAGGUUAAAAGGAUGGGUUAGCUUCGGCGAAGCUCAGAAUUGAAGCCCCAGUAAACGGCGGCCGUAACUAUAACGGUCCUAAGGUAGCGAAAUUCCUUGUCGGGUAAGUUCCGACCCGCACGAAAGGCGUAACGAUCUGGGCACUGUCUCAACGAGAGACUCGGUGAAAUUAUAUUGUCCGUGAAGAUGCGGACUACCCGCGACAGGACGGAAAGACCCCAUGGAGCUUUACUGUAGCUUGAUAUUGAGUGUUUGUACAGCUUGUACAGGAUAGGUAGGAGCCAUAGAAACCGGAACGCUAGUUUCGGUGGAGGCGUUGGUGGGAUACUACCCUCGCUGUAUGACCACUCUAACCCGCACCACUAAUCGUGGUGGGAGACAGUGUCAGGUGGGCAGUUUGACUGGGGCGGUCGCCUCCUAAAAAGUAACGGAGGCGCCCAAAGGUUCCCUCAGAAUGGUUGGAAAUCAUUCGCAGAGUGUAAAGGCACAAGGGAGCUUGACUGCGAGACAGACAGGUCGAGCAGGGACGAAAGUCGGGCUUAGUGAUCCGGUGGUACCGUAUGGAAGGGCCAUCGCUCAACGGAUAAAAGCUACCCUGGGGAUAACAGGCUUAUCUCCCCCAAGAGUCCACAUCGACGGGGAGGUUUGGCACCUCGAUGUCGGCUCAUCGCAUCCUGGGGCUGUAGUCGGUCCCAAGGGUUGGGCUGUUCGCCCAUUAAAGCGGUACGCGAGCUGGGUUCAGAACGUCGUGAGACAGUUCGGUCCCUAUCCGUCGCGGGCGUAGGAAAUUUGAGAGGACCUGUCCUUAGUACGAGAGGACCGGGAUGGACAUACCUCUGGUGUGCCAGUUGUGCCGCCAGGCGCAUCGCUGGGUAGCUACGUAUGGAUGUGAUAAACGCUGAAAGCAUCUAAGUGUGAAACACACCUCGAGAUGAGAUUUCCCAUUCCUUUAUGGAAGUAAGACCCCUGAAAGAUGAUCAGGUAGAUAGGUUAGAAGUGGCAGUGCGGUGACGCAUGAAGCGGACUAAUACUAAUCGGUCGAGGACUUAACCAAG
This 2923-nucleotide ribosomal RNA is filed under the name Lactiplantibacillus plantarum. RNAcentral describes it as "Lactobacillus plantarum 23S ribosomal RNA". It matches the Rfam family "Bacterial large subunit ribosomal RNA". The record is from RNAcentral. Lineage: Bacteria; Bacillati; Bacillota; Bacilli; Lactobacillales; Lactobacillaceae.